ACGAUUUGCUGCGAGCGAAUCUAGUCGUCCACAAAUUUUUCUAAGUCCAUGUACACAGUAGAAGUGAACUGUCAAGAAAAAUGAGGUUACUUGUGUCCUUAAAGAACCUAAUAGUCAUCACAUCGCAGUAGGAUAGUGGAAUCGGACGGUGGAGCGAUUCAGAUUCGGAACAGGAGGAAGGAGAACCGGCGAUAGAAGGAAUUAUUCGAAGAGAACAUUCGUGUGAGGUGUGCCGGAAUAGUUUUACCAGGAUUAAAAUCAUUCGCACUGUUCAAGUGGUUUCCCGAAUAGGGCACUGCUGAUGCGUCACCUGAAGCACCAAUGCGAGAAUCAAGACAAGAAAAUCUGCCCGUUCUGUAAUGAAAGAUUCAUGUGGCAAACUAGCAUGAAUAAGCACGCCCAGCAAAAGCACAAACCCAAGAAGCCUUUGCUGCAGCGAUCAGAUGACGAAUCGGAAGAAAAAAGUCAUCUGUCAAAUUUGCAACAAGAGUUUUCUCCGUCGGCAGCACCUGGAUCGUCACAUGAGCAUUCACAUUCCGGAUGAGAAGAAAUUCAAGUGCACAGAGUGCAGUAAGGCGUUCAACCGAAAGGACAAUCUGCGGACACACAUGAAAAUACACUACCGCGAUCCUGCGGAUGCGAUACCGAAGCAGGACCCUGUGCAGGCGAGCUUUCUCCAAGUCUUCGAAUCUGAUGGUGCACAUGCGAAGGCACACCGGAGAGCGGCCGCACAAGUGCGAUUUUUGCGAUAAAAGUUUUCCUCGUUGCUUGGAUUUGCAGUAUCAUCACAGGACACAUACUGGUGAAAAGCCGUGUAUUUGUAAGGUUUGUGGAGCAGGUCACACAAGCUCAUUGUACACAUGAGGACUCAUACCGGAAACACCAUACAAGUGCACUUACUGCGAUCGGGAGAGGAAAUUCUCAGCAAGUCGAACCCAAAUCCGCCGGUAACGCUAAUGAAAAACACGCUUCAUUAAUUGGGCGCAACAGCAAAUACUACCACAACGUUACUCCAGUAUUCAGUAUUGUCGACGAUCAGGAUGAAGAAGACCUGCCACCAUCAUCAAUGAAGGACUCAUCAGUAUGCAGGCUGGAACACCACAAAUUUUAGAAGACUGUAUUCACUCACACAUAAAAGGUCUGGACGUAAUUCGACUCUUCAAGUGCCAGGCAGUUCCCCUAAAUAAUUAUCUUCUACUGCUAGUCACUGCUACACAUAUUAAAGUUCUGCCCGAAUUAAAGCAUAAAGCACGAAUCAUCGUCCGGCACCCAUUGCACAACUUUCGCUUCAAGGGUUAUCGUCCUCAUCGUCAUCAUAGUGGGCGUAUUUGCACCAGAGAACCUAACCUUGGGGUAUGCCAACGUUCCUUCGGAAAUAUGAUGAUAGGUGUUUGCGAAUCUAAACCAAGGGCUACUUCCUGCGAAGGCACAUCUUGUGUAACUGUUGUGAUUGAAGCUUAUAAUUUGGUAUAACACCAAUUUCAACCAGUGUAUUUUUUCGUCCGUUCAACUGUCGAAACUGGACAACAAAACUGCGCUUUCGGAGAUACAUAAGUUCACUGCCCUACAAUUGCUUGUUAGCAAAUUGUGUCAAUGCUCGGGGCAACCGCUGAUUUAUACAAAAAAAUUGCUUGAUAUAUAUCAAGGUUGGCUAACGGUGCCUACCUUCUGCAAAAUUAUAAUUAUAUAAUAUAAUACAGCACACGGCAAAUAUUUAUUAGUACCUCGAAACCUACACCUU
RNA transcript from Topomyia yanbarensis, 1741 nucleotides. It is a transcript of the gene named zinc finger protein 568-like, with no coding region annotated. The transcript is spliced from 4 exons. The record is from RefSeq and is a predicted model, not a curated record. NCBI's taxonomy places the organism in Eukaryota, Metazoa, Arthropoda, Insecta, Diptera, Culicidae.